ACCAGAGAGCGGAAGAAAGUGAGACGGGCGACUUCGCCAGUUCUGUCAAUAAUUCUGGAAAAUACAAUGACGCCGAGGCACUGAGACGUCACAGGGGUGGGCGUAUUUUACCCUUCUACCAAUAAAAGUACAUACAGCUAAUCUGUUUGAGCAAUACAUUUGAAAUAAUGUCUGGCGUUUCGGCGUUUUUAACAAAGCCUGUCAUUCUGCACAUCUUUUUUUAACGUAUUUUGGGCGCAUUUUAAGUUUCGGUCUUGUUCCAAAUGUUCAUUCUGCAGCUGCUCGGGGCUUUCCUCCUCCUGUCUUAGCCCUCAGAGCAGACGCUGCUGCCCGACAAGUUAAUGAAGAUGGUUAUUGGUGAAAGAAGAUCCAUAAUGUCGGACAAUCUGCCUGUGUUAGAGAAGCUGAGCUAUGCAGUAGGACACUUUCUCAACGACCUGUGUGCCUCCAUGUGGUUCACCUACCUGCUGGUAUUCUACCAUUCAGUGCUGGGAUUCAAGAACACAUAUGCAGGCCUGCUGCUGCUGGUUGGACAGAUAGCUGAUGGUGUCUGCACUCCUCUCAUCGGCUAUGAGUCUGACCAAACUCCUGGCUGUGGAAACUAUGGCAAGAGGAAGACAUGGCACUUAGUGGGUACAGUGAGCGUGGUUCUGUCUUUUGCCUUCAUCUUCAGCCAGUGUCUCGGCUGCAACUUCAUCACACCACAGUGGGUCAGCCUGACUUAUUUCAUCCCAUUCAUCGUCAUCUUCCAGUUUGGCUGGGCUGCCACUCAGAUCUCACACCUGUCUCUCAUACCUGAGCUGGUCAGCUGUGAACAUGCUAAAGUAGAACUGACUGCAUACAGGUAUGCUUUCACAGUUGCAGCCAACAUCACCGUGUAUGCAGUGGCCUACCUGCUGUUCCACUUUCAGGCGGGACAGGACAGUGACCCUCUCAGCAACACCCUUGGACCAACAGACAUCCCCAUCUUCAGGAACCUGGCUCUGAUAGUACUGGGCAUCGGCUCUCUCUUCUCUCUCCUCUUCCAUGUGGGAACCAAAGAAAGGAGGCCUGGGGUCAGAGGGGAGUCUGGAGCAGAGGACAGGAGGAGGAUAAGGGAGGAGGAGAACAAGGAGGAGGAUGAGCAGAGUCCCCUCCUUCAUCAUGCCAAGCCUUCAUCCUCUGCUCCGCCUCCUCCUCAGUUUCUUUUGCAGUGGAAAUGUUGGCUCAAACAGCCGGCUUUCUACCAGGUGGCUUUUCUCUACAUGUGCACCAGAUUAAUAGUAAAUCUGUCACAGACCUACAUCUCCAUGUAUCUCAUCAACACACUGGGACUGCCAAAGAAGUUCAUAGCAACCAUACCGUUGGUGAUGUACCUCAGUGGCUUUCUGUCCUCCUUCAUCAUGAAACCCCUCAGCAAACUUAUUGGAAAAUGUCUGACUUACUUCUUGGGACUGCUGAUGAUGCUGGCCUUCUCCUGUUGGGUGCUGCUGGAUGCUACGAUGGGCCAGUGGGUGUACGGGGCUGCCAUCAUGCUGGGAGCAGGGUCAGCGACCAUCCUAGUGAUGUCACUCUCCAUGACCACUGACCUCAUAGCCGAUCAGACGCACAGUGGAGCAUUUGUCUAUGGAGCAAUGAGUUUUACUGAUAAAGUUGCUAAUGGAGCAGCUGUGAUGAUCAUCCAAGCCUUAAACCCUUGCCAUGCUACAGCAUGCUGUCCAGCCUGUGUGUGGUUCUACCAUUACAUCAUAGUCAUAGUGACAGGAGGUGUGGCCAUUGCCGCAGCGAUGGCCCUCUGCAGCAUCCUCAUCUGGCCAAUCAAGAUCAGAGGACGUGGAUUUGGAGGUUAUCAGGAGGAUUCAGAGUUCAGCUCUGAUGAUGCGUCCAGGGUGAAUUAGCCCCCCGCCCAACCAACAAACUGACAGACUUCCUGGUGCACCAUUCAACAGGACAGAAUAAAGAGUCAUAAGAACAUGAGACUCAAAUCAACAGGGAAGGCACUUUAUCUUAAAGGUUUUUGCAGUGACGUCUCAGUGGUUUUUGAUGGCGCUGACAAGGUGCUCUCAAUUGGAGAAAGCUUCAGACUGAGCUGUGAGUUCACAUGUCUGGGAACCAAACACCUCGCACAGCUGUGGAGGGACACAGGACAUAAGGAUAGCAUGUGCCUCAUCAAUAUGAGCUCAAUGCAGCCGAACCUGGUGCUGGUCCUACAUAAAAGCUCUGCUACAGAAGAAGAUACUGGUAGAUACUACUGCAAGACCCAGCCACCCAACACACUCAGCCACAUAAUCUCCAUUCAGGUGGCAGAGGACAGUAGCCCUGUAUCUUCAGGAGAGUCCCCCUCCCCUCCAGCUAUCUGUGCAUCUGCACAGACACCACCCAACACCACCUGCCAGUGUGACCGCAGCCCACAGGAUACCAGUACAGCAGGUCUCCUAGGUCAAAUGUGGUGGUGGGUGCUGCUGGCUAAGAUUGCUUGCUUCCUCCACAUUUUGACCUUCCUGGCAGCCAAAUGCUUCUGACAACAGAGAGAAGAGGAGAAGAGAGAAGAGAGGAGAAAAGAAGCACAAGGCUGUUCUGGAUAAAGCUCAGUUUAUAUUUAAUUAUGGUCAUUCUGCUAAGUCCUAAGGCUUCAUCCACUCUGGACUUGGUUUCUAACUUAAAGUUUUUAGUAUUCACAAGUAUUAUUUAAAUGCAUUUAAUCAUAGAAAUCUCACAUGUAAAUUAUAUUUCAGGUUAUUUUAUUUGGAUUUAUUUUUCAUACUAGCACAUAUUGGGACAAUUCUGGUUUUUAAUCAAUUAUUUAUGCAAUUCUCAAAUAGAAAAAACAAUCUGCGCCAUUACCAAUUUGCUACAGACACAGUAACUGUCUAUCAGUUCAGGGCUGUAGUCUUCUAAGAAUGCAGCCAAACACACUGGUCUCUGAAAUGGGGCGGUGGACUUUAGAGGACUUCCUGUUUGUGUCACCAGCUGUUCCCAUCUUACCCUUUGCCUAUACUGUAUCUAUGUUGUUGUUAUAUGCUGUAAUUGUUUUGUUGUCUUU
This is an RNA transcript of Myripristis murdjan (pinecone soldierfish), 3022 nucleotides long. It is a transcript of the gene named major facilitator superfamily domain-containing protein 12-like, with no coding region annotated. The record is from RefSeq and is a predicted model, not a curated record. NCBI's taxonomy places the organism in Eukaryota, Metazoa, Chordata, Actinopteri, Holocentriformes, Holocentridae. The transcript is spliced from 16 exons.